This is a long non-coding RNA of Homo sapiens (human), 553 nucleotides long. RefSeq lists it as uncharacterized. NCBI's taxonomy places the organism in Eukaryota, Metazoa, Chordata, Mammalia, Primates, Hominidae. The transcript is spliced from 2 exons. The record is from RefSeq and is a predicted model, not a curated record.
UUGAAAAACUCCUGAUGAGUGGUCAUUGUAAAUCAGAAGUGCUUUCAGCAUGGAUGGGUGAGGAGCAUGGGAUUAAGUAGGGACCUCUGUCCUAGUAUUAUUUUCUCUGUUGAAUUCAUCCUACCAGUUGCUGAGCUCUUUAUUUGCACACAUCAGCCUUUUAGGAAGGAUCUCCAGGAAUCCUGUGGGGAGAGGCUGGUGCUGGGGGAAGACAGAGGAAUGCCUGGAGAGGACAGAAGUGAGACUACACCUGUUGGUCUGGAUUGCAGCUGGAAUUGGAAGGGAAAUGCAUUUCCAUUGAAGGAAGAAGUGUAACAGUGAGCAGGCAGGUGUCAGCGGAUCUCAAGAGAAUAAUGUCAACUGGACAAUGGCUUAGAGGCAGGAGGAGGCAGAUCAGCUAGGCAGAUGUGCAGAAGUUAAGUGUGGUUUCAUGCAGAAACUUCCAAAUGGAUUCAAGAGCCAAAGCCUUCAAGAAGUUGGUGUCAUUGUCACUUGGAAUAUGUUUGUAUUAAUACAGGUAGAAUAUGUUAAUAAACCAUAUUCUUAUCAAGAA